UACGUAGGUGGCGAGCGUUGUCCGGAUUUACUGGGCGUAAAGAGCGCGCAGGCGGUCGUUCAAGUCGCGUGUGAAAGCGCCCGGCUCAACCGGGCGAGGCCCUUGGAGACUACAGGGCUGGAGGGCAGUAGAGGUAGGCGGAAUUCCGGGUGGAGUGGUGAAAUGCGUAGAGAUCCGGAGGAACACCAGAGGCGAAGGCGGCCUACUGGGCUGCACCUGACGCUGAGCCGCGAAAGCCAGGGGAGCGAACGGG
Molecule: ribosomal RNA, 253 nt
Filed under: uncultured bacterium
Lineage: Bacteria
Description: partial 16S ribosomal RNA
Rfam family: Bacterial small subunit ribosomal RNA
Source: RNAcentral